AAAUUGAAGAGUUUGAUCAUGGCUCAGAUUGAACGCUGGCGGCAGGCCUAACACAUGCAAGUCGAACGGUAACAGGAAGAAGCUUGCUUCUUUGCUGACGAGUGGCGGACGGGUGAGUAAUGUCUGGGAAACUGCCUGAUGGAGGGGGAUAACUACUGGAAACGGUAGCUAAUACCGCAUAACGUCGCAAGACCAAAGAGGGGGACCUUCGGGCCUCUUGCCAUCGGAUGUGCCCAGAUGGGAUUAGCUAGUAGGUGGGGUAACGGCUCACCUAGGCGACGAUCCCUAGCUGGUCUGAGAGGAUGACCAGCCACACUGGAACUGAGACACGGUCCAGACUCCUACGGGAGGCAGCAGUGGGGAAUAUUGCACAAUGGGCGCAAGCCUGAUGCAGCCAUGCCGCGUGUAUGAAGAAGGCCUUCGGGUUGUAAAGUACUUUCAGCGGGGAGGAAGGGAGUAAAGUUAAUACCUUUGCUCAUUGACGUUACCCGCAGAAGAAGCACCGGCUAACUCCGUGCCAGCAGCCGCGGUAAUACGGAGGGUGCAAGCGUUAAUCGGAAUUACUGGGCGUAAAGCG
This 577-nucleotide ribosomal RNA is filed under the name Escherichia coli. RNAcentral describes it as "bacterial SSU rRNA". It matches the Rfam family "Bacterial small subunit ribosomal RNA", at positions 1 to 567 of the family's 1533-position model. The record is from RNAcentral. Lineage: Bacteria; Pseudomonadati; Pseudomonadota; Gammaproteobacteria; Enterobacterales; Enterobacteriaceae.